UACGGAAUGUGCAAACGUUAUUCGGAAUCACUGGGCUUAAAGAGUCCGUAGGCGGCAUGUUAGGUGAGGUGUGAAAUCCCACGGCUCAACCGUGGAAUUGCGCUUCAAACCGGCGUGCUUGAGGAAGAUAGAGGUGGGCGGAACUGAUGGUGGAGCGGUGAAAUGCGUUGAUAUCAUCAGGAACACCGGAGGCGAAGGCGGCCCACUGGGUCUUUUCUGACGCUGAGGGACGAAAGCUAGGGGAGCGAACAGG
RNAcentral lists this ribosomal RNA (253 nucleotides) under uncultured bacterium. RNAcentral describes it as "partial 16S ribosomal RNA". It matches the Rfam family "Bacterial small subunit ribosomal RNA", at positions 524 to 776 of the family's 1533-position model. The record is from RNAcentral.